GCGCUAAAGCUCGUAGUUGGAUUUGUGGCUGUCACGGGCGGCCUAUCACUUAGUGUUAGUGCUUGCCUGUGUCGCCAUCCUUGGGUGGAGCCCGUGUGGCAUUAGGUUGUCGUGCGGGGGAUGCCCAUCGUUUACUGUGAGAAAAUUAGAGUGUUCAAAGCAGGCUUAUGCCGUUGAAUAUGUUAGCAUGGAAUAAUAAGAUAGGACCUCGGUACUAUUUUGUUGGUUUGCGCACCGAGGUAAUGAUUAAUAGGGACAGUUGGGGGUAUUCGUAUUCCAUUGUCAGAGGUGAAAUUCUUGGAUUUCUGGAAGACGAACUACUGCGAAAGCAUUUACCAAGGAUGUUUUCAUUAAUCAAGAACGAAAGUUAGGGGAUCGAAGAUGAUUAGAUACAUUCCCGUAGUCAAGGGCGCAAUUCUUAGACCCGCUCAAAGACGUCUACAGCGAAAGCAUUCUCCAAGGAUACCUUCCUCAAUCAAGAACCAAAGUGCGGAGAUCGAAGAUGAUUAGAUAC
Molecule: ribosomal RNA, 514 nt
Filed under: Psammodictyon panduriforme var. continuum
Lineage: Eukaryota; Bacillariophyta; Bacillariophyceae; Bacillariales; Bacillariaceae
Description: SSU rRNA
Rfam family: Eukaryotic small subunit ribosomal RNA
Source: RNAcentral